UACGGAGGGGGCUAGCGUUGUUCGGAAUUACUGGGCGUAAAGCGCACGUAGGCGGACGUGUAAGUCAGGGGUGAAAUCCCGAGGCUCAACCUCGGAACUGCCUUUGAUACUGCAAGUCUCGAGUCCGGAAGAGGUGAGUGGAAUUCCUAGUGUAGAGGUGAAAUUCGUAGAUAUUCGGAGGAACACCAGUGGCGAAGGCGGCUCACUGGCUCGAUACUGACGCUGAGGUGCGAAAGCGUGGGGAGCAAACAGG
RNAcentral lists this ribosomal RNA (253 nucleotides) under uncultured bacterium. Its description in RNAcentral is "partial 16S ribosomal RNA". It matches the Rfam family "Bacterial small subunit ribosomal RNA", at positions 524 to 776 of the family's 1533-position model. The record is from RNAcentral.